GGCUGGCCCAAGUGCAGUGCUGUUUACAGCUAAUUGAUUACAGCUAGUUACGGAUUUCUUCCUUUUCCAUUCCCACUGCUUCCCUUGAUUAGCCUUAA
Unclassified non-coding RNA from Gorilla gorilla gorilla (western lowland gorilla), 98 nucleotides. It matches the Rfam family "Y RNA". From Rfam's summary of the family: Y RNAs are components of the Ro ribonucleoprotein particle (Ro RNP), in association with Ro60 and La proteins. NCBI's taxonomy places the organism in Eukaryota, Metazoa, Chordata, Mammalia, Primates, Hominidae. The record is from Ensembl.